RNAcentral lists this ribosomal RNA (497 nucleotides) under uncultured bacterium. RNAcentral describes it as "partial 16S ribosomal RNA". It matches the Rfam family "Bacterial small subunit ribosomal RNA", at positions 28 to 507 of the family's 1533-position model. The record is from RNAcentral.
GAUGAACGCUGGCGGCGUGCCUAAUACAUGCAAGUCGAGCGAACAGACGCGGAGCUUGCUUCUCUGACGUUAACGGCGGACGGGUGAGUUACACGUGGAUCCCCUCCCUAUAAGACAGGGCUCACUUCGGGAAACCGGAGCUAAUACCGGCUAAUAUCUUGAACCGCAUGGUUCAAUAGUGCACGACGGUUUUGCUGUCACUUAUAGAUGGAUCCGCGCCGCAUUAGCUAGUUGGUAAGGUAACGGCUUACCAAGGCAACGAUGCGUAGCCGCCCUGAGAGGGUGAUCAGCCACACUGGAACUGAGACACGGCCCAGACUCCUACGGGAGGCAGCAGUAGGGAAUUUUCCGCAAUGGGCGAAAGCUUGACGGAGCAACGCCGCGUGAGGGAUGAAGGUCUUCGGAUCGUAAAACGCUUUUAUUAGGGAAGAACAAGUGUGGAAGUAACUAUGCACGUCUUGACGGUACCGAAUCAGAAAGCCACGGCUAACUACGUG